Molecule: ribosomal RNA, 253 nt
Filed under: uncultured bacterium
Lineage: Bacteria
Description: partial 16S ribosomal RNA
Rfam family: Bacterial small subunit ribosomal RNA
Source: RNAcentral
UACGGAGGGUGCAAGCGUUAUCCGGAUUCACUGGGUUUAAAGGGUGCGUAGGUGGGUUGGUAAGUCAGUGGUGAAAUACUUUCGCUUAACGAAGGAACUGCCAUUGAUACUAUUUGUCUUGAAUAUCGUUGAGGUAGGCGGAAUAUGUCAUGUAGCGGUGAAAUGCAUAGAGAUGACAUAGAACACCAAUUGCGAAGGCAGCUUGCUAAACGAUGAUUGACGCUGAGGCACGAAAGCGUGGGGAUCAAACAGG